This 826-nucleotide long non-coding RNA is filed under the name Hordeum vulgare. RNAcentral's name for it is "long non-coding RNA (HVUL_LNC021152)". Lineage: Eukaryota; Viridiplantae; Streptophyta; Magnoliopsida; Poales; Poaceae. The record is from RNAcentral.
GUAUCAGGACCUGUCGAUAGAUGGGAUGGACCCACCCGUUUGACUCUUAUGAAUUGAUAGUUAGAUACUAUUGCUAAAGGAAAGUAAAGAUAGUGGUUUGUGUUGCAAAAAGCUAGUUCAAGGUCAGGCUCCGUCAAACAGAGUCGUCAAGAACGAAAAGCUGAAAGAAUGAUGUGUCAAACAGUGAUUGCGCACAGAGGUUAGUUAAGUAUAGGAACUAUUGUCCCUAACGAGAAGUAUGCUGCUGUCCCAAUAAAAGGAUAGUUGGACGGUAUCGAUUGAGGGAAUAGGGAUAGGUGGUUAAACGCGAUGCUGCGCCUAACUAUAUAGAACGGUGAUCCAUGAAGAGAAGUCGGCCAGCUAUUAAGUCAGAGAAGUCAUCAACCUAUUACUAGUGUCAGUUCUGUUAAGAGAAGUCAUCAACCUAUUACUAGUGUCAGUUCUCUUCUUCCUCUCUACCAAUUGAAAGUAAGUAUUGAUUUCGCCUAAUAGGGACAAAGCAAAGUAGGGUGGUCAAGUACAGUAUGCCUGGAGUUCGUAGUGCCCACUAGAUAUCAUUGGCAAGUUAUAGAAGUCUUUCUCUCUUCUGAGAUAUCAUUGGUCAGUGCAGCGAGGGGCAACCAUCAUUUCUAUUGCUCUGUAAAGAAAAGAUAGGACAAGGGUCUUGCUCCACCCAAUGGAGAUAAAGCACGGGGAUCCGUUAAGGGCGUAUUGAAUCGAUAAGAAGCACUUGAAUUCUAGUGGGCCCGGCUACCCAACACUAGCCCCGGAUCAUUUAUGUAUUAUCAAUUGAUAGUAGGGGCAGGCAGGGGAAACUCUUUAUAUC